GACGACCGCUGGCGGCAGGCUUAGCCAAUGAAAGUCGAACGCCCCGCAAGGGGAGUGGCAGACGGCUGAGUAACAAGUGGGAAUCUUCCUAUCUGUAAGGCAUAGCUCAGGGAAACAUGGGGUAAUAACGAAUACGUCCUUCGGGGGAAAGGUUUAUCGCCGUUAGAUGAGCCGGCGUGUGAUUAGCUAGUUGGUGAGGUAAUGGCUCACCAAAGCGACGUUCAGUAGAUGGUUUGAGAGAAUGACCAGCCACACUUAGACUGAGCAACGGUCCAGACUCCUACGGAAUGCAGCAGUGGGGAAUCUUGCACAAUGGGCUCAAGCCUGAUCCAUCCAUGCCGCGUGAGUGACGUAGUUCUUCAGAUUGUAAAGCUCUUUUGCCAGGGACGAUAUUGACGGUACCUGGAGAAUAAGCCCCGGCUAACUUCGUGCCAGCCGCCGCAGUAA
This 447-nucleotide ribosomal RNA is filed under the name uncultured bacterium. RNAcentral's name for it is "partial 16S ribosomal RNA". It matches the Rfam family "Bacterial small subunit ribosomal RNA", at positions 28 to 523 of the family's 1533-position model. The record is from RNAcentral.